This is a long non-coding RNA of Vespa mandarinia (Asian giant hornet), 108 nucleotides long. NCBI's taxonomy places the organism in Eukaryota, Metazoa, Arthropoda, Insecta, Hymenoptera, Vespidae. The record is from RefSeq and is a predicted model, not a curated record.
UUUUUUUUUUAAAUAAUACUAUCUAAAUUUCUAUUCUAUCAACGUAUUUAAAACUACGACCAUAGGCUCGCUCUGUAAGCGUGUAUUCGUUCUUAAAAUGUAUAAAUA